AAUCAACGCUGGCGGCGUGCCUCAGACAUGCAAGUCGAACGCGAAAGUUCCCUUCGGGGGGCGAGUAGAGUGGCGCACGGGUGAGUAACACGUAGGUAAUCUACCUUUGGGUGGGGAAUAACAGCCGGAAACGGCUGCUAAUACCGCAUAAUGCAGCGGCUCGACAUCGAGACAGUUGUUAAAGCGGGGGAUCGCAAGACCUCGCGCCUAAAGAGGAGCCUGCGGCGGAUUAGCUUGUUGGUGAGGUAAUGGCUCACCAAGGCAUCGAUCCGUAGCCGGCCUGAGAGGGCGGUCGGCCACACUGACACUGACAUACGGGUCAGACUCCUACGGGAGGCAGCAGUCGGGAAUUUUGGGCAAUGGGCGCAAGCCUGACCCAGCAACGCCGCGUGAAGGAUGAAAUCCCUCGGGAUGUAAACUUCG
RNAcentral lists this ribosomal RNA (423 nucleotides) under uncultured bacterium. RNAcentral's name for it is "bacterial SSU rRNA". It matches the Rfam family "Bacterial small subunit ribosomal RNA", at positions 32 to 434 of the family's 1533-position model. The record is from RNAcentral.